AGCCAUGCGAGUCGUAUGGGAUACCUAAAAUUUCCAUGGCAGACUGCUCAGUAACACAUGAUCAACUUACCCUAUAGAGAAAAAUACCCUCGGGAAACUGAGGAUAAUGUUUCAUAGUUGAAAAGGCUUGGAAAAGUUUUUCAACGAAAUGGGUAAGAUAAAUGGUUCUUAUCUGCUAUAGGAUAGGAUCGUGGUCGAUUAUGGUUGUUGGUGAGGUAACGGCUCACCAAGCCGAUAAUCGAUAGGGGCCGUGAGAGCGGGAGCCCCGAGAUGGGUACUGAGACAACGACCCAGGCCUUACGAGGCGCAGCAGGCGCGAAACCUCCGCAAUACACGAAAGUGUGACGGGGUUACCCAAAGUGUUCAAUAUUGAACUGUGGCAGGUGAGUAAUGUCCCCUGCUAGAAAGGAGAGGGCAAGGCUGGUGCCAGCCGCCGCGGUAAAACCAGCUCUUCAAGUGGUCGGGAUAAUUAUUGGGCUUAAAGUGUCCGUAGCCGGUUUAGUAAGUUCCUGGUAAAAUCGGGUAGCUUAACUAUCCGUAUGCUAGGAAUACUGCUAUACUAGAGGGCGGGAGAGGUCUGAGGUACUACAGGGGUAGGGGUGAAAUCUUAUAAUCCUUGUAGGACCACCAGUGGCGAAGGCGUCAGACUGGAACGCGCCUGACGGUGAGGGACGAAAGCCAGGGGAGCGAACCGGAUUAGAUACCCGGGUAGUCCUGGCCGUAAACGAUGCAUACUAGGUGAUGGUACGGCCAUGAGCCGUGUCAGUGCCGUAGGGAAACCGUUAAGUGUGCCGCCUGGGAAGUACGGUCGCAAG
This 815-nucleotide ribosomal RNA is filed under the name uncultured archaeon. RNAcentral's name for it is "bacterial SSU rRNA". It matches the Rfam family "Archaeal small subunit ribosomal RNA", at positions 47 to 847 of the family's 1478-position model. The record is from RNAcentral.